UCCUACGGGAGGCAGCAGUGGGGAAUAUUGCACAAUGGGCGAAAGCCUGAUGCAGCGACGCCGCGUGAGGGAUGACGGCCUUCGGGUUGUAAACCUCUUUCAGCAGGGAAGAAGCGAAAGUGACGGUACCUGCAGAAGAAGCGCCGGCUAACUACGUGCCAGCAGCCGCGGUAAUACGUAGGGCGCAAGCGUUGUCCGGAAUUAUUGGGCGUAAAGAGCUCGUAGGCGGCUUGUCACGUCGGUUGUGAAAGCCCGGGGCUUAACCCCGGGUCUGCAGUCGAUACGGGCAGGCUAGAGUUCGGUAGGGGAGAUCGGAAUUCCUGGUGUAGCGGUGAAAUGCGCAGAUAUCAGGAGGAACACCGGUGGCGAAGGCGGAUCUCUGGGCCGAUACUGACGCUGAGGAGCGAAAGCGUGGGGAGCGAACAGGAUUAGAUACCCUGGUAGUCCACGCCGUAAACGGUGGGCACUAGGUGUGGGCAACAUUCCACGUUGUCCGUGCCGCAGCUAACGCAUUAAGUGCCCCGCCUGGGGAGUACGGCCGCAAGGCUAAAACUCAAAGGAAUUGACGGGGGCCCGCACAAGCGGCGGAGCAUGUGGCUUAAUUCGACGCAACGCGAAGAACCUUACCAAGGCUUGACAUACACCGGAAACGUCUGGAGACAGGCGCCCCCU
Molecule: ribosomal RNA, 672 nt
Filed under: Streptomyces sp.
Lineage: Bacteria; Bacillati; Actinomycetota; Actinomycetes; Kitasatosporales; Streptomycetaceae
Description: bacterial SSU rRNA
Rfam family: Bacterial small subunit ribosomal RNA
Source: RNAcentral